GACGAACGCUGGCGGCGUGCUUAACACAUGCAAGUCGAACGGAAAGGCCCUGCUUUUGUGGGGUGCUCGAGUGGCGAACGGGUGAGUAACACGUGAGUAACCUGCCCUUGACUUUGGGAUAACUUCAGGAAACUGGGGCUAAUACCGGAUAGGAGCUCCUGCUGCAUGGUGGGGGUUGGAAAGUUUCGGCGGUUGGGGAUGGACUCGCGGCUUAUCAGAUUGUUGGUGGGGUAGUGGCUUACCAAGGCUUUGACGGGUAGCCGGCCUGAGAGGGUGACCGGCCACAUUGGGACUGAGAUACGGCCCAGACUCCUACGGGAGGCAGCAGUGGAGAAUAUUGCACAAUGGGCGGAAGCCUGAUGCAGCAACGCCGCGUGCGGGAUGACGGCCUUCGGGUUGUAAACCGCUUUCGCCUGUGACGAAGCGUGAGUGACGGUAAUGGGUAAAGAAGCACCGGCUAACUACGUG
Molecule: ribosomal RNA, 468 nt
Filed under: uncultured bacterium
Lineage: Bacteria
Description: partial 16S ribosomal RNA
Rfam family: Bacterial small subunit ribosomal RNA
Source: RNAcentral